CUUGUCUUUUAAAUGAAGACCCGUAUGAAUGGCAUAACGAGGGCUUAACUGUCUCCUCUUUCAGGUCAAUGAAAUUGAUCUCCCCGUGCAGAAGCGGGGAUAUAAACAUAAGACGAGAAGACCCUAUGGAGCUUUAGACACCAAGACAGCCCACGUUAAGCACCCUAAAUAAAGGACUAAACCAAGUGAGCCCUGCCCUAAUGUCUUUGGUUGGGGCGACCGCGGGGAAUUAAAUAACCCCCACGUGGAAUGGGAGCACCCUCUCCUACAACUAAGAACCACAGUUCUAGUAAACAGAAUUUCUGACCAAUAAGAUCCGGCAAUGCCGAUCAACGGACCGAGUUACCCUAGGGAUAACAGCGCAAUCCUCUUUUAGAGUCCAUAUCGACAAGGGGGUUUA
RNAcentral lists this ribosomal RNA (400 nucleotides) under Xeneretmus leiops. RNAcentral's name for it is "partial 16S ribosomal RNA". It matches the Rfam family "Bacterial large subunit ribosomal RNA", at positions 1968 to 2520 of the family's 2925-position model. Lineage: Eukaryota; Metazoa; Chordata; Actinopteri; Perciformes; Agonidae. The record is from RNAcentral.